CCCGCGGCUCCCCGCCGGUCUCCUGAGGCCGCUCUCGUGCCCUUAUCACUUUUCCAGCCCAGCUUCUGCACUCUGACUGUUGGACGGAGAACUGAUAAGGGUGCGCGAGUGA
Taeniopygia guttata (zebra finch) is the source of this 112-nucleotide microRNA precursor. Ensembl annotates it as tgu-mir-184. Its record names the gene tgu-mir-184. NCBI's taxonomy places the organism in Eukaryota, Metazoa, Chordata, Aves, Passeriformes, Estrildidae. The record is from Ensembl.